GAUGAACGCUGGCGGCGUGCCUAAUACAUGCAAGUCGGACGGUCUACGCAAGUAGAUAGUGGCGAACGGGUGAGUAACGCGUUGGUGACCUGCCCCUUAGAGAGGGAUAACAGCUCGAAAGAGCUGCUAAUACCGCAUGAGAUCGCGAGGAUUAGAAGCUUGCGAUGAAAGCCGAAAGGCGCUGAGGGAGGGACCUGCGUCCCAUCAGCUAGUUGGUGAGGUAACGGCCCACCAAGGCGAUGACGGGUAGGGGACCUGAGAGGGUGACCCCCCACAAUGGAACUGAAACACGGUCCAUACACCUACGGGAGGCAG
Molecule: ribosomal RNA, 315 nt
Filed under: uncultured Chloroflexota bacterium
Lineage: Bacteria; Bacillati; Chloroflexota
Description: bacterial SSU rRNA
Rfam family: Bacterial small subunit ribosomal RNA
Source: RNAcentral